This 495-nucleotide ribosomal RNA is filed under the name uncultured bacterium. RNAcentral describes it as "bacterial SSU rRNA". It matches the Rfam family "Bacterial small subunit ribosomal RNA", at positions 28 to 507 of the family's 1533-position model. The record is from RNAcentral.
GAUGAACGCUAGCGGCAGGCUUAACACAUGCAAGUCGAGGGGUAACAUAGAAAAGCUUGCUUUUCUGAUGACGACCGGCGCACGGGUGCGUAACGCGUAUACAACCUACCUUUUAGCGGGGAAUAGCCCACGGGAAACUUGGAUUAAUGCCCCAUAGUAUAUAGACUUCUCCUGAAGUUUAUAUUAAACAUUUAUGGCUAUUAGAUGGGUAUGCGUCCUAUUAGCUAGUUGGUGUGGUAACGGCACACCAAGGCUACGAUAGGUAGGGGUCCUGAGAGGGAGACUCCCCACACUGGUACUGAGACACGGACCAGACUCCUACGGGAGGCAGCAGUGAGGAAUAUUGGACAAGUGGGCGAGACGCCUGAUCCAGCCAUGCCGCGUGCAGGAAGACUCGCCCUAGUGGGUUAGUAAACUGUCUUUUACAGAGGAAGAACCCACCCCACGUGUGGGGGUUUGACGGUACUCUGCGAAUAAGGAUCGGCUAACUCCGUG